This 676-nucleotide long non-coding RNA is filed under the name Homo sapiens (human). RNAcentral's name for it is "HSALNT0357723". The record is from RNAcentral. Lineage: Eukaryota; Metazoa; Chordata; Mammalia; Primates; Hominidae.
GCGGGAGGCUGUCGCUCGGGUCCGGCUGCGGGCCACAGGCCGCGGAUCGCGCUCUGCCAGCGCCCCACGCCCGCAAGCGCGGCCCCUCCGCCACCUCGCGGCCCGGCCUGACCUGUUAAUCACGUCCCCACGGCUCUCCUAGCGGGGACACCGCCGUCUGCAGGCUCCGUCCCCACAGUGCCCAGACCCCGGGAAGUUUGUCAGUCAGCACCCUGAUGCCAGCCGAUUCUCAAAAAGCCAGGAGGAUCCAAGCAGAUGAUUUGCCAGACGGUACUGCAGCAAUGGAGAUGAACAGAUAAUUCACACAGAAAGAAGGACGAGGGAUUGGAUCAAGCUGGGGCGAGAUAGAGUGGGGAAGUGAUGAGCUAAGAAAAAUUAGCCUGCAAGCAUGACGUGUCGCACGUCAGCAAGGCUGCAGCCUUGGAUUCUGAUGUCUUGAGAAGAGCGAUUCACCUGUGAAUUCUCACAGCCCUGGCCUCAGAAAGACGGCCCGGGACCAGGCCCGAUGGCACCCCUCUUCCCAGCUCUCAGCCAGGGCGGAAGGCACAAGUGAUGGCCCUGGCCUCCGCAGUCACACUCCUCCUGAAAGCUGACUGGCUGAACCUCACCUCUUGGCUAGCUUGCCACCCAGCUCUUGAGAACAUGUUUGUCCAAGGCCUCUUGGCAGGUCUCGAUG